GAUGAACGCUGGCGGCGUGCCUAAUACAUGCAAGUAGAACGCUGAAGGAAGGAGCUUGCUCUUUCCGGAUGAGUUGCGAACGGGUGAGUAACGCGUAGGUAACCUGCCUGUUAGCGGGGGAUAACUAUUGGAAACGAUAGCUAAUACCGCAUAACAGUAGAUGUUGCAUGAUAUCUACUUAAAAGGUGCAAUUGCACCACUACCAGAUGGACCUGCGUUGUAUUAGCUAGUUGGUGAGGUAACGGCCCACCAAGGCGACGAUACAUAGCCGACCUGAGAGGGGGAUCGGCCAAAAUGGGAAUGGGACACGGCCCAGACUCCUACGGGAGGCAGCAGUAGGGAAUCUUCGGCAAUGGACGGAAGUCUGACCGAGCAACGCCGCGUGAGUGAAGAAGGGUUUCGGAUCGGAAAGCUCUGUUGUAAGAGAAGAACGAGUGGGAGAGUGGAAAGUGCACACUGUGACGGUAUCUUACCAGAAAGGGACGGCUAACUACGUG
This 497-nucleotide ribosomal RNA is filed under the name uncultured bacterium. RNAcentral describes it as "partial 16S ribosomal RNA". It matches the Rfam family "Bacterial small subunit ribosomal RNA", at positions 28 to 507 of the family's 1533-position model. The record is from RNAcentral.